CUCGCUCUCGCUCUGUUCUUGGUCGCCGCACCCGUCGCCGCCGCGCCGCAGCGCCAUGGUGUCGUGGAGUGAUGGGUCGGAUAGCAGCGAGCACACCAGGCAGUACAUGAGCUCAGAUUCCGACGACGGCACCAUUAAGGUUCCUGCUAGCACCGAAGACUCAGAUUUCGAGGGCCCUGAGACAGAUAUGUAUGUUUUGUGCCAUGGACACGGGAAGGCAGCAGAAAGGCGCGUUGCUUUCGAAGGGAUUCACACUGGCAGGAGGUUUCUUUGUUGUGCAGAGAAGGUAUGGUUCCAACUUAACUAAUUGGAAGUUGUUGAUUAACUUAACAGAUCUGUCAUUUGUUUGCCAUGGACAUGUAAUGUGGCACUCCAGCAGGCAUUGUAUUAUAAUGUGAAGUU
This is a non-coding RNA of Aegilops tauschii subsp. strangulata, 402 nucleotides long. The record is from RefSeq and is a predicted model, not a curated record. Lineage: Eukaryota; Viridiplantae; Streptophyta; Magnoliopsida; Poales; Poaceae.